This 707-nucleotide ribosomal RNA is filed under the name uncultured Bacilli bacterium. RNAcentral's name for it is "bacterial SSU rRNA". It matches the Rfam family "Bacterial small subunit ribosomal RNA", at positions 51 to 717 of the family's 1533-position model. The record is from RNAcentral. Lineage: Bacteria; Bacillati; Bacillota; Bacilli.
AUACAUGCGAGUCGAACGCACUCUCGUUUAGAUUGAAGGAGCUUGCUCCUGAUUGAUAAACAUUUGAGUGAGUGGCGGACGGGUGAGUAACACGUGGGUAACCUGCCCUAAAGUGGGGGAUAACAUUUGGAAACAGAUGCUAAUACCGCAUAAAACCUAACACCGCAUGGUGUAGGGUUGAAAGAUGGUUUCGGCUAUCACUUUAGGAUGGACCCGCGGUGCAUUAGCUAGUUGGUGAGGUAACGGCUCACCAAGGCCACGAUGCAUAGCCGACCUGAGAGGGUGAUCGGCCACAUUGGGACUGAGACACGGCCCAAACUCCUACGGGAGGCAGCAGUAGGGAAUCUUCGGCAAUGGACGAAAGUCUGACCGAGCAACGCCGCGUGAGUGAAGAAGGUUUUCGGAUCGUAAAACUCUGUUGUUAGAGAAGAACAAGGAUGAGAGUAACUGUUCAUCCCUUGACGGUAUCUAACCAGAAAGCCACGGCUAACUACGUGCCAGCAGCCGCGGUAAUACGUAGGUGGCAAGCGUUGUCCGGAUUUAUUGGGCGUAAAGCGAGCGCAGGCGGUUUCUUAAGUCUGAUGUGAAAGCCCCCGGCUCAACCGGGGAGGGUCAUUGGAAACUGGGAGACUUGAGUGCAGAAGAGGAGAGUGGAAUUCCAUGUGUAGCGGUGAAAUGCGUAGAUAUAUGGAGGAACACCAGUGGCG